AUUCUGUAUGCUGUAUGGAUCCACCAGACAUCAUGUUGCCUGUGAGUAUGAGACCUUUUAAAUAAGACAUGUAAGCUAAUGAUUUUAACUGAGUUUAAUCAGUGGUCACAGGGAGAAGUGAUGGGAGUUGAAGAGGAUGAGGAGACUGUGUCUGUAUGUUCAAGGAGGCCUGAGGAUGCUGACACUGUUCUAGAGCCCUCUCAGUCUGGGACCACAUGUGACAAAAACCCAGAAAACAUAAAAGGAGUGUAUAAACGCUACCUCCUUAAACAAAUGGAAGUGAUUGAUAUCGACAUCCAGUAUAAAAAACUGAAGAUGAGGAAGUUGGAGCUGGAAAUUCAACAGCUACAGAAAAAUGCAAGUAGAACUACCAUUUUUAAAAAAGGAAAAGGAAAAAAAAAAGACCUUUUUGAUCACUUUCCACAACAUUUAUUUGUGUGUUUUCACCCCUAACAGGCAGAUUCACUCUGAAUAAAGACAAAUCACAUUAUAUACUUUGACUUCUGUGUGUUUGUUCAACUAAGGAGAAAGUUGAGGGGCCAGUGGAACAUUUUAAAGGCUACACAUGGUUUAGAUCAUAUUAAGCAAAAUAAUUAUUUGCAUAUGUGUCUCUUAUAAGUCUGCCUGUUUCGUUUUCUUCCAAUACUGCCUCAUUGCCCCAGUCUUCCUCUUCAGCAAUCCUUGGUUGCCUCUCUCUCCUCAGACAAGCAAUGUCAUGGAGCACUACACAAGCAACUACAAUGUCACAUGCCCUAGGUGGAGUCACUCUGAGGUGCUUCAGGCACUGAAACCUUGACUUUAUCAGCCCAAAUGCCAUCUCUAUACGACCUCUUCUUGUGCGUGCAUGGGCAAUGUUGUAGCGGUGCUGUGCUCUGUCUGGGGCUCCUGAUAGGGAGUCAAGAGGUAAGGCAGGCAUGGGUAUCCCUUGUCUCCCAGCAAAACUCCUGAGAAUUCUCCUGCAUAGACAGAAUGAAUAUAUAGAUAUAUAAUGUUUUUUUUUUUUCUUUUUAUAAGACUUUUUGCAAUUUUAAGUGAUUACUAGCAUACCUCUUGCUAGUUGCUGGUAGAGAGAUGAGGCUCUAAAGAUUCUGGAGUCAUGCACAGAGCCUGGCCAUUUGGCCUCUACAUUUGUGAUGAUGCAAUCUGCAUCACUAAUCAUCUAAAAUAAAUUUAAACCUGUAGGUCACUACAUUUUAAUUGCAAUGAACUAAACACUGGUGCCCAGCUUAGUACAGAACACUCAGUGCUAGAGCAUAGCCUUCAAUAUCAUCUCAGUGGGACAGUACCUGUACAUUGAUGCUGUGUACUGAUUUCCUAUUCACAAAGUCCACUUCAUGUGGACCAGACGGACACUUAAU
This 1358-nucleotide long non-coding RNA is filed under the name Carassius auratus (goldfish). RNAcentral's name for it is "lncRNA (ENSCARG00000023141.1)". The record is from RNAcentral. Lineage: Eukaryota; Metazoa; Chordata; Actinopteri; Cypriniformes; Cyprinidae.